Molecule: long non-coding RNA, 233 nt
Organism: Xiphophorus couchianus (Monterrey platyfish)
Lineage: Eukaryota; Metazoa; Chordata; Actinopteri; Cyprinodontiformes; Poeciliidae
Exons: 3
Source: RefSeq, a predicted model, not a curated record
UGACACGGGGAUAUUCCAGGAUGACGAUGCAGUUUCAACUGGCUGAAAGUGUGAGCAAAAGUUCAGACCUGAAGUCCAUAGAGAAUCUUUGUGAUGUUUUGGAGAAGUUUUGCUCGAUGGUUAGUCUCUCCCAUCAUCAGUACAAGAUCUCGGUGAAAAAUGAAUGCAACACUGGAUGGAAAUAAAUCUCGUGACAUUGCAGAAGCUUAUUGAAACAAUGCCAAAGUGAAUAC